Molecule: long non-coding RNA, 717 nt
Filed under: Salvia miltiorrhiza (redroot sage)
Lineage: Eukaryota; Viridiplantae; Streptophyta; Magnoliopsida; Lamiales; Lamiaceae
Description: long non-coding RNA (SMIL_LNC007485)
Source: RNAcentral
UUCGAUUUGUCUCUUCCCCGCUGUGAUUUCGUUCUUCGUUUCCGAUCAAGGUACGUUCGUCUUCAUUUUUUGUAUUUUUUCCAAUCAAGCGCACACACACAUACGCGACGCUGCUGUCGCUGCUUCUCUCGAUCCAGAGCCGCCCCGCCACGUCGCUCCGACAGCGGUCGCCCGAUGUCACCGCCGCUGAAGCAGCCGCCUGCUGCCGCCGCCUGGAGCCGUUGUUGCUGCCACAAGUCGCCGUCUGACCUGCAGCUACCGCCUCGCUCGGAUGUUGGAUACCCCUUGAUGACACUACGCCUCGCUUGGAGUAUCUCCGGCGAGUUCAUUUCCAGAAAUUAAAAUAUGGACAAUAGUUGAUCGAUUUGGGAACUGGGGUAUAUAUUCAGUUAUAUUCUCGUGUUGUUUGUAAAUAUUUAUGUGUAAUUGAAUUGUUUUUUUCUUCUCUUGUUUUGAAGGGCCCCUAAGUAUAUAUAACCCAUUUUAUUUGUUGGUUCUUUUGCUCCUAUUCUUUCUUUUCUUGCUUUUGUUUGCACGACCUCAUCCCUGAAUUGAAGAAUUUUAUUGGAUGAUGCUGCUAAAUUGGGUGGAUCUUUUUUGUUUGCUUGAGAAAUUGCUAUAAAUUGGGGGAUAGGCUUGUAAUUUGCUGGUGUUAGUUAAACUAGUUCUUGAUUUGAGAAAUAAUGAGUAUGAAUAAAAUUAAUUAUUUGCAUUUGC